UUAAACGUUCUUAAAGCUGGCGUGGAGUCGCUUCUUCUUCGGCUUCACUUUCUGUCGCCCGGACCUUCAUUGAUGAAGAGUCGAUAAGUUCGUGAAGAAAUUGUCACAAGACAAAGUCUAAUUUUACGAGCCUAGGGUAUCUUUUAGUGUUUUAGGGUUCUAGCAUCCAUAAUUCAUUUCGAUUAAAACAAUCAAAAACCAACAUAACAUCGACUAACCACAUAAUAUCACGUAACCACAUAACAAACAAAAUAAAAGAAUUCAACAUCCUUAAACUUAAUAUCAUUUAGAAAUUCACAUGUUCACAUAAGAGAUAAUAAUCAUGCACCAUCUUAUAACAUUCACCAUCUUAUAACAUUCUAUACAUUUCAUUUCCAUGUAAAUAAAUACGAAAUUCCAUUAUUCAUUUAUAAAUGACUUAAAUAAGCAUUUUAAACUCCAUUAAAAUGGAAUUGAUUUAAAAAUUUUAAUCCUUUUAAAAUCCAUACUCAUAAAGCCUUUACUCAUGCUCUAUCUCAUAUUCUAUCUCUCAUAUAAGGCUCGUCUAAUCUCAUUCAAACACAUAGGCAACACAAUCACAUAUAAGGCACAUAAGAAUCACAAUCAAACACCAUCAAAACAUGCUCUGUUUUUACACUGACUCAACUUCAAAAAUUAACCUGUUCUGACUCCGACAUCUCCUGGACUCGAGACUCAUACCAAAAGAAAGAUAUUCGAGUCUAGUUUCAUAUACAAAAACGUAGAGUCAAAAACUCCAAGUGGUUUGGGAGAUAUGUCGUUUUUACCACGAUCUACCAUAUUCGGCAGUUUUGAGCAAUCGAAAACUUGGAUUUUUGAAAAAUAGUAAACGUUGUCAAAUUGGGCUUAAAUUUGGUGGAUAUCUAGCUAACACAAUGAGGUUAAUACCAUAAAAAUUUGGAAAGCUAUAUCAUACAGUAAGCUACUUAAAAUAAUGACUCUUUACCCUGUUCUCUGAAAUUCUCGGUAGUAAAGUGCAGUUUAGGUUUUAUAUUUUAAAGAAAUAUCAAACGAAGUUGGAAUGGCUUGAAAUUUUACCAGUGUGCUCAACACUCUCAAAUAUACUUACCAUAAAAUGUUCAUGGCUUUUGGAUAUCAAAAUCGCGUCGAAAAAAGUAGGUCCGUAGCCUUUAAAAAGGUUCUCAAAUUAACUCCCAAACUUGAGCAUAAAGCAAAUAUACCUAAAUUCCGGACUUCUUCGAUGAAAAAUUCUCAAAAAUUCAAAUUAAGCUCAUAUAAAUCACAAUAACAUAAAUACAUGAUCAUAUAACUCAAGAAAAUUCAAACAUUGACUUCCCCUUUUUCCCCUUACAUUCGGCCAACACAUAAGUCAUUAGGAGUUGGUCCUUUUCGUCUCAUAUCGCAUAUACAAGCUCAAUUUAUCAUCAAAUAGCCAUAUAUAAACAUGCUCGACUCAUAACUCAUCUUAUAUACAAGAUCUCAUGUAUGCACGCAAACUAAACUCGAGAAAUUCUCACAAAUCAAUAUCAUUAACCAAAUUAAUCAUGCUUUCUCCUUGCUAGUAGUCUAACUAACAUAUAAACAUCAUCAAUUCAAGUAUUUAUCUCAUUAAUCAAAAGUUCCCAAUUAUUAGCAAACUAAACUUAACCAAUUUAGGCAUUCUUGACAAUUAACCAAUUGAUCCUAAUUAUCAUUUCUAUCAUGCUUAAUAACAAUUAACUUAGCCAAUUUAAUCAAUUAACACAUAGAUCACAAGUCCCAAUUUUUAACGAACUAAACUUUUUGAAAAUCUACAAACAUACAUAAAUCAUUAAUCCAACCUUAGAUUAAUCAAAUUGGCACACUUAAUAGCAUAAAUAAGCAAUCAAUUAGUAAAUUAAACCAUAGAAUCAAUUUUACCCAAAUUACAUCAAACUAACUCAUAUCAAAAAUUACUAAUCAAUUUCAACCAUCAAUCCAAUCCAUCAAAUCUCAUAUAAACACUCUCAAUAGCAUAUAUCAUCCAUCAAUUCAUCAAUCAACCUCAAAUCCAAAACUUCCCAAAUUUAGCAAACUAAACUCUUUCAAAUCUCAUAUCUAUUUUUAAAUCUAUUCUCUACACAUGGAAAAAGACUAAUUAGGAACCCAAUAGUAUUUAAAUAACCUCAAAUUAAGAAAAGAAAAUGAAAAAAUUUUGAAGGGUAAAAGACCCCAAAUUUUCGAAAAUUACAAAGAAUAAGAGAGGGGUGUUUUCUUGUUUCAAUCAUCCAAAAAUACACAUAUAUAACACAAAUAAGCCUAGAUCUAAGAGGAUUCAUCACUUACUCAAGGAUUUGGAAAUAAACAAAAAUCUCCUUUGGCUCAAAUCUUGAAACUCCUUCAAGUAUGCUCUUGAUUCAAGGCUAUAGAUGUUUAAAGCUUGAAUUUGAUGGAGAUCUAUGGUGUAGAGAUGAUCUAAAAA
Molecule: long non-coding RNA, 2419 nt
Filed under: Salvia miltiorrhiza (redroot sage)
Lineage: Eukaryota; Viridiplantae; Streptophyta; Magnoliopsida; Lamiales; Lamiaceae
Description: long non-coding RNA (SMIL_LNC004808)
Source: RNAcentral